Molecule: long non-coding RNA, 4675 nt
Organism: Pongo pygmaeus (Bornean orangutan)
Lineage: Eukaryota; Metazoa; Chordata; Mammalia; Primates; Hominidae
Exons: 5
Source: RefSeq, a predicted model, not a curated record
ACACAGAUUUACUCUCAUAGUUCUGGAGGCCAGAAGUCCAAGACCAAGGUGCUGAUGGGGCCCUGAUCUCUCUGAAGGCUUGAGGGGAGGAUCCAGCCUGGGCCUUUCUCCUGGCCUCGGUGCUGCUGCAGUCCUUGGCAUCCCGUGGCUCGUAGCUGCGACUCUCCAAUCUCUGUCUGUCGUCACAUGGCCUUCUCCCUGUGUCGCUGGUCCACAGAGGGGACUCAGAAACAGUCGUUCCCUCCCUUCCUCCCCAGGCAUCUGAUAUCAGUUAACUACACAUCUCCCUGGCCCCAGCCCUACCGAGGGCAGCAGCAUGCCCUGUCCGUCUCUCUAGGGGAAGGCAGAUCUAAGUGAAUAGGAAUGAACCAAAUACAAUGUGGAGGAUCACCAACUGCAUGAGUCCCCACCAGGGUCCUCCCCUUGGGGCUGCAUUUCCCUCCUUGAACCCCAGAUGCACCUCAGGGAGGGAGGUGGGGACUCUGCUGCUCUGUGGGCAUCUGGAGCGGCAGCCUCCAGCCCCUUGGCUGCAGAACACAUACUUCUUUCUGGCCAGGUCUUCCCUGUCAGAAGCAUACUCAUGGCCUCAUCAUCUCAGCAUAGAAGAAGGGACCCCAGAGUCCCCAUGUACCUCGCUUUGCCAACUGCUGCACCCACAUUAUCUCCUGUACUGCUCUCAGCAAUGCUCCAGGGCAGUGGAUUGCAACUUUGAGAGUGCAUGGAAAUCCCCAGGAGGGCUCCCUCAGCACAGGCUGCUGGCCCCAUCCUAGAGUUCUGGAUUCAGCAGGUCAGGGGCGGACCCAGUGAUUUGUGUCCCUCUCAUGUUGGCAGGUGAUGCCCAUGCUGCUGGCCCAGUAAGGUGGGUGCUAUUAUCUCAUGGUAGAAAUAAAUGGGCAAUAGCAGUUUCGAAGAAGUCAGGUGAUUUGCCCAAAGCCACCUGGUUGCUAAAUGCUGCAUUCACAUGUGUGGUCAUCUCGCUUGGAUUAUGGACCAGUCCCCAGCUGAUCUUCCUGUUGGCCUAUGAGGUCCAAUACAUCAUCUAACCACUCCCCACCCCACACCCUCCCUAGUACCUGGCAUCAUCCCCCACUUCCUGGCCUCUGUGCUCAGAGACCACAGAGCCUCUGCCCUGAAGGAGAAGGAACAGGCUGACAGUGAACACAGCCACUCCAGUGCCAGGCGAGCAGGGUGGGUGCUACAGACAUAGGCACCAGCCAAGAGCUCUGGACACACCUAGGAAAGGGACUACUUCCGGAUAGGAAAGAGCAGAAUUAAGGAGGGCUUCCCAGAGCAGAGUGGAUUCCACGUAAUAUUUGCCUCCACUGCAGCACACCGUUCUAGGUCCAGUCUCCUCCCUGUCCCACUAACCUGGAUAGUCUAGCUCGAGUGCCCACUCUUAACCAGUUCUCUCAAGACCCCCAGGCACCGAAAGGAGGGAGAAAUGAAGGGAGGGUAGGCCGAGGUGGGUGGAGCAUCUGAGUUCAGAAGUUCAAGACCAGCCUGGCCAACAUGGUGAAACCCCAUCUCUACUGAAAAUACAAAAAUUAGCCAGGUGUAGUGGUUGGCGCCUGUAAUCCCACCUACUCAGGAGGCUGAGGCACGAGAAUUGCUUAAACCCAGGAGGCAGAGGUUGCAGUGAUCUAACAUCGCACCACUGUACUCUAGCCUGGGUAAUAAAGACUCAGUCUCAAAAAAAAAAAAAAAAAGAAAAGAAAAGAAAAAGAAAGAAAGAAAAGAAAAGAGGGAGAGGCUCUGUUUCUGGGGUGAGAGCCACUCAAGGGUGCUGCUGCAGGGCAGAGCUCUGGUGCGUAGUGACUUUGCAGCCACUCUGGGAGCCACUGUUGGUUUGCAGGACUGGUGGAGGUUAAACACAGCCUCAAGUUGGAAAGCCAUUCUUCAAUUUCUAAUAAAAAUCCUGAAGUAGGGAUGACGCACAAUAAAUCAGCCUCCACGAGUCCCAUCUCAGGGUAAUCUUUUCAAUUAUCUGCUUGUGAGGUAUGCAGCUCCUGAGAUGAUCAGAAGUGUGCAGCAAGGAUGCCAGCCCUGGCCAGGAGACACCGAACCUGAACCAUGUUUGGCUGAGGGGCCCAGCUGUGGAGCCAAGGGGCCAGAGUUAAAAGGUAGCUGAGCGGUGAGGGUAGAUCAGACCCCCAAGGAGAGGGCUACCAGGAGUGGAAAGAAGAUUGGGGACCAGGUAACAGUCCUUUGGUUCAGAACAGGGACUGGUGCAUCCCAGCAUCUCAGAAAGAUGUCUUUGAGCACCCACUAGUUUCCAGGGGCGAGGCACGGAGCAGAGGUAAGGCCAGGCCACCCACCCCUCUCAUCGUGGAGCCUGCCUUCCAGCAGGGGAGAGGGACAAAAGACACAGGACAGGGAGUGACCGAAAACAGGCCGAGUGAGAUACACAGAAGUGGUCCAGGAAGGCCUUUGUGAAGAUCGCCAUUCAAGCUUCUCCAAUCAGCGCUACCACUUAUGAGCUGGGUGACUUGGAGGAAGUUAGUUAACCUCUCUGAACCCAUGUGAGGGCUCUGCAAAGGAGAGGAGACAUCAGGAUGUGGUGAGGGCUGUGGAAGACAAGGGUGUUUCCCAGUUGAUUGUUAGCUCACUUCUUGUGCCCAAAUACUCCUCCUUCAAAGAGAGGUCGCUGUCUGCUCUGGCUUCCCCUGAUUUCUGAGUGGAACAUAAUUUCUCCUUCCUCUGCUGUGUCCCGUUCUCCGAGACAGCCUGCGAGUUCUACUGUGCAUCACACGGAUUUGGGUUCAUGCCCCCACACCUCUACAAGGCUGAGUGAGAACUAGUUUGGACCAAGAUCCCAGUCUGACUUGGCCCUGUUGGCCUAGCACAGGAUGUGGCUCAGAGACAGACACUCAGCCACGGUCUGCUGCCUGGAUGUGUGGGUGGAGAGACGGGUGGAUGGUGGGUGGGUGAAUGAAAGCCAGGACUUGGGAAAAUAAGAUCAGAAUUAAGGACACGGGGAAAGAGUAGCUUUGCAAGAGAGAAAGAAUAUUUCUCCCUCAAUGACAGAAGAAAUUUACUCCAAGGAAUAGAGGGGCAAUGUGAGCGAACACCUUCAUUCAUCUUUUCCUUUACUUCAACAUGCAUUUGGGCUGUAUGCUGAGCUUUAGGCAUCUUAAGAGACAGGUUUCACGGCUGAACACGAAAUACAACUGAAUAGACAGUUACUAUGUGCUGUGGUCAACACUAUUUUGUGCAGAAAGUUUAGGAGACUCGGAGGACGAUCUGCUGAUCCCCCCGCUGAUUAGUACAAAGAAGGCUGCAGACAGGGCACCCCCAUCACCAGGUGACCCCGCAUUCCCAGCACCUCAGUCCCAGCAGCGAGGUGACUUGGCACCAUUGCUUUGCCACCUUUGGGCAAGCCUGCCCAUGCCCGGGCCUCAGCUCUUGAGCUAAUGCCUGCCUGGGGUUCCCAGGGAACCGCCAUGAGGCAGAUGCUUGCAGAGAUGUGGGAUUUUCCCUGGCUCUGCCAUUUGAUCCACAUGGGGAUGGAAUGACUCCCCCAUCUCAGAGAUGAGGCCAGGAAGCUCAGAAGGUGAACUGUUUUACCCACAGUUACCCAGCUGCAGGGCCAAAGAGCCAAAUUUUUUAUCCAGCACAGGUGAUGCUGAACCCCAAGCCCUUCUCACCAGGCUGGGACGCUGCACUGCGUGGAUGUUCCAUCUCCGUUGCUAGGGUAACCUCCCUCCUGGCCCAGCAGCCACCCCUCCUGGAGCGUGAUUCUUGCACCUGACAGCAUAAUCUUCUGUGACAUCUUAAUCAGCAUCCUGGCAACCGACAGAGCCUGGACACCAGCAUCACACUCAGCACUCUGGGAGCCAGCAGGGCCUGGAGGGACCACCUCCUCCUCAGCCUUAACCCUUGCCUGCCCACCCCAACCCCUGGUGGAAUGGGGGUGGAUGGUGGUUGGUUUUGAAGUCAAACAGAUACUGUUUCAGAUUUAAGCUUUACCAUGGCAUGUUUCUAAACUUCUGUUUCGUAAUCUGUACAGUGGCGAUAAUGAUGCCAGUCCGGCUAGUGUACAAAAUUGGAUGAGGGCAUUGCAAAAGGAUGUGAAUGGGCCACAACAUCUAAAGGAACUGGGGCACCUGGGAGUUUUUGUUUCCGUUAUUUCACUUGGAGCCAGUGGCUUUCAGAGCGGGGGACCAGUGGCACCACAGAGCUCCCUCUUGUAAACAGGAAAAUGAGGGCUUCAGCAGGCAGCUGGAACGACUAUCAUUACAGGGGAGACGGAGUCCAUGGAAGCCCGUAACGGCCCACUGACCUCCUCUGACCAAAGGCUGAGUUGGUAGAAGUGUCAGAAGCAGGGUCCACAUCUCCAGGGCCGCUCUUAGCUCAGAGUCUUUCUGAGGGAAACUGCCUGGCACCAGUCCAUGUUGAAGGGGUCAGCCUAUUGGAACCUGCCCUCUCAGAUAGAAAACCUAGGGAGGGAAACCUGGCCUUCCUGGAAAGACGGAGCCUCUGGAUGACAGACACUGCCACAACUUCCUAGGGGAUGCUCAGCCCACUUUUCACUCCCACAGCCCGGCUCUGGACACUGGGAUAAAAACAGAGUUGCUGUGAAGAUGAAGUAAAUUAAGACAUGCUGAGAACUCAGAACAAUGCUUGGCAACAGUAAUUGUUUAAUGCGUGCUAUUAUUAACAAGUCAUAGUCUUUCCC